GUCUACAGCCAUGCCACCCUGAACAAACCCAUAUGUCUGAUCUCGGAAGCUAAGCAGGCUAGGCCCUGGUUAGUACUUGGAUAGGAGACCACCUAGGAAGACCAGGUGCUGUAGGCA
Molecule: ribosomal RNA, 117 nt
Filed under: Pteropus alecto (black flying fox)
Lineage: Eukaryota; Metazoa; Chordata; Mammalia; Chiroptera; Pteropodidae
Source: RNAcentral